Molecule: non-coding RNA, 1093 nt
Organism: Peromyscus maniculatus bairdii (prairie deer mouse)
Lineage: Eukaryota; Metazoa; Chordata; Mammalia; Rodentia; Cricetidae
Source: RefSeq, a predicted model, not a curated record
AAAAAUAAUACCACACUCGGCUGAAAUCACAUCCAACUGGAGUCCUGUUUGUAAUCCUUCAUCCUUUCUGGGAGUCAGUCAGCUGCCACGGACACCCCCACAGGAUGGAUCUUUUUCCAAGGCAACAAACGCUCAAUUCAUGGGGGAACUGGAGCCCGGCUCCUGUGCUGUUUCUUCGAGGUCCUUGAAAGGGUGGAAUAUGAAUGGAAACCAAAGACAGAUUAUUUUCAGAAAGGCUCCCAACAUAAUCAGCAUCUCCUGCAGCUGCUGACAGACACAAUGAGCGGAUGAACCAAAAGGUUAAUGGAAGGGGACCGGUGAAUCCAGUUUGACCUGGAGUAAAGGGAACGAGGCCAGAAGUUGAGCAAGAGCGACAUGCAAGCAGAGAGUCAAAAGGACUUUAAAGAGGCCGGACACAAAGUCAGGAAAAAAGAAUGCCAGAGAUGACAGAAAGCCUGCAAAGUCUGGAUAAGGAGCUUGAACUUUAUUGACUGCAUCCUGUGGAUAAAAUGACAUCAGCGGAAGACACAGCAAAAAGACAUUUUAAUGAAAGAAAAGGUGAGACGUCUGAGGACGAGAACUGUUGAUGCUGGUGAAGGCUUGGAGGGAAAUGUGAACUCAGGAUCAACUUUGGACAUCUCCACUUGCUUGUUACCAAAUCCCAGACAAACUAUGCACAUCUCAUUUAUUCUCAGAAAAAAUGAUGGAUUUCUCUUUGCUGGAGGUUUCCAGUGGUACAGGACCAAUCAUCUAAGUCACUUCCUCCCCUAAUUUGAAUUAGCGACAGAUCUUGUGAGCCACAGUAAGUGCUAAGCUAGCCUGAAGGACGGAUGCUGCCGUUUACACUGCAGAAGGGGAGUCGUCUUGGAUGGGUCCUUACUCAUUUAUUUGACAUUCAGAAGGAUAGUCAGUAAAAUUAACAAGUCUUUCUGAGUGCCAUCUUAAGUUUUCAUGCCAAGCUAUCUGAACUUUAGGACAAACAUUCUUAAACAUCUUUACACUCUCAAUAAAUAAAAAUUUCCUUGCAUGUAUCAACCAGGAGUGAUUUAACACUGGGAAUAAGAAACCUAAGUGAACAUGAUACCAACCAGAA